UGGGGAAUAUUGGACAAUGGGGGGAACCCUGAUCCAGCGACGCCGCGUGAGUGAAGAAGUAUUUCGGUAUGUAAAGCUCUAUCAGCAGGGAAGAAAAUGACGGUACCUGACUAAGAAGCCCCGGCUAACUACGUGCCAGCAGCCGCGGUAAUACGUAGGGGGCAAGCGUUAUCCGGAUUUACUGGGUGUAAAGGGAGCGCAGACGGUUUUGCAAGUCUGAAGUGAAAGCCCGAGGCUUAACCUCGGAGUUGCUUUGGAAACUGUUUAACUUGAGUGCAGAAGGGGAGAGUGGAAUUCCAUGUGUAGCGGUGAAAUGCGUAGAUAUAUGGAGGAACACCGGUGGCGAAAGCGGCUCUCUGGUCUGUAACUGACGCUGAGGCUCGAAAGCGUGGGGAGCGAACAGG
This 404-nucleotide ribosomal RNA is filed under the name Verrucomicrobiota bacterium. RNAcentral describes it as "Verrucomicrobia bacterium partial 16S ribosomal RNA". It matches the Rfam family "Bacterial small subunit ribosomal RNA", at positions 355 to 776 of the family's 1533-position model. Lineage: Bacteria; Pseudomonadati; Verrucomicrobiota. The record is from RNAcentral.